GACGAACGCUGGCGGCGUGCUUAACACAUGCAAGUCGAACGGAAAGGCCCUGCUUUUUUGUGGUGCUCGAGUGGCGAACGGGUGAGUAACACGUGAGUAACCUGCCCUUUACUUUGGGAUAACUUCAGGAAACUGGGGCUAAUACCGGAUAGGAGCUCCUGCUGCAUGGUGGGGGUUGGAAAGUUUCGGCUGUUGGGGAUGGACUCGCGGCUUAUCAGCUUGUUGGUGGGGUAGUGGCUUACCAAGGCUUUGACGGGUAGCCGGCCUGAGAGGGUGAACGGCCACAUUGGGACUGAGAUACGGACCAGACUGCAACGGGAGGCAGCAGUGGGGAAUAUUGCACAAUGGGCGGAAGCCUGAUGCAGCAACGCCGCGUGCGGGAUGACGGCCUUCGGGUUGUAAACCGCUUUAGCUUGUGACGAAGCGUGAGUGACGGUAAUGGGUAAAGAAGCACCGGCUAACUACGUG
RNAcentral lists this ribosomal RNA (468 nucleotides) under uncultured bacterium. RNAcentral's name for it is "partial 16S ribosomal RNA". It matches the Rfam family "Bacterial small subunit ribosomal RNA", at positions 28 to 507 of the family's 1533-position model. The record is from RNAcentral.